UCUCGAAAAAGCCGGUAUCACAACAAACAAAUAAACGAAUUCGUAGUAAGAACAAAUUGACUUUUUUGUUGUACAUACAGCAUUGAAUACAACCUUGAAAAAAAAACCAUCUGUAAAUUUUACAACAAUUUCGGCUGUGAAAUGUCACGCGUGGACCGCCGCGCAUCAAACGUUAUUGUUAUUAUGUGAACCGUAAAUUUUUUACAAGACUUCUUUUUCGAUUUUACUUAUAAAACCACCUUAUUAAUAUUAUUAUUAUUUUCCCAUUUACACCCAACUCUACGUUUCGCGGGGGGCUUAAAUUUAUCACAACCAUGAAGUGCAGCAAAUUAAUAUUUUGGUUUGUAUUUGGAGUGUGUUGGUUCGACGGAAAUUGUGAUCAAAUUCAACAUCAAUCCAACACCGAACCGGAAAAACCGAGGAAUAAUGGAAAUAUGGGGUACUCAUUGCUUUCUAGGUCUAUGUCUAAAGUUGUAGAAGAUUCACAUGAAAGUUGUUACGUUGAUGAUUUCGAUUGCUUAUUUGGAGCCUCAAAUGAUAAACCUGGAUUAGAGGCUAUUCGAGCUUUACAUCAACAAUUAGAUGAUGAUGCUAAUGGUGACAUUGAUUUAACUGAAACUGGUGAUUUUUUGCGUCAAGAUUUAAAAAUUGAUUCUGGUUAUGAAAAGCGUCAAAAAGCAUUCCAUCAAAACGACGAUAUGCAUAUUUCCGUUAAAGAGCUUUGGGAAUCUUGGUUAAGAUCGGAAGUCCACAACUGGACUGUUCAGCAAACCGUUGAAUGGCUCUCUGUUUGUGUGGAUUUGCCGCAAUAUGUUCCAAAUUUUAUUCAGAAUAAGGUAACUGGAGCUGCACUUCCAAGGUUGGCUGUAAAUAAUAUGAACUAUCUAAGCAGUCUAGGCAUUAAAGAUCCAAUACACAAGCAAAAAAUCUCGCUCAAAGCAAUGGAUGUGGUAUUAUUCGGACCGCCUAAAGACGGUCAUAAUUCUUGGAAAGAUUUCGUUGUAAUUUUAUUGAUUAUUGGUGGCGGUAUCGGUUUUUGGUACGGUUACCAACAAAACAAACACUUCAAAAAGAACAUAACGAGGAUGUGCACGGAAAUGGAGACACUUCAAAACGCGGAAACGGCAUUAAGAAAACUCCAAAAAGAAUUGGAAGAAGCACGACAAGCUCAGGAACAUGUUACAUCAGAAAAACAAAAUUUAGAGCGACGUUUACAAGAAAGCGAAGCCGAUCCGAAUUCUUUACAUCACUCGAAUUCCGACGGCGAAGUUUCACAACUUAAACAAGAAAUUGAGAUGUUAAGAAAUGAAUUAUUAAUAGCUGAAAGUAAACUUCAACAAGCUCCUUGUUGGUCCCCACCGGUUGGGUUACAACAAUGGUUACAAUUAACGCACGAAACUGAAAAUAAAGCUUACGUUAAAAAGAAAAUGCAAGCUGAAAAGCAAUUACAGCAUGCAAGAGAAGCUUGUGAAAAAUUGCGUAAAAAACGAUCAAGUUUUGUGGGAGCUUUUGUAAGCACCCAUGGUAAAUCAAUAGACGACGUUGAUAGAACGAUUGUGGAAGCGAGAACAGCGUUAAAUGAAGUUACCCAAGAAUUACAAGAACGAGUUCAUCGAUGGAAACAAAUUGAGAGUUUGUGCGGAUUUAAUAUUAUCCAUAAUAAUGGUUUACAAUCGUUGGAAACGGCGUUGUAUAAAGGACUAAAUGGUCGAGCUUUUGGUUUAUUAAGAAAUCGAAUUAGCAGCCAAGAUGAUUUGGACGAUGAAACCAGCUCCGUUUAUACUUCUACACCAGGUGUAAGAUGGCGAUGUCUGUGUAGGAGCCGUAGAUUCAUGGCCGCAGCACAGUUGGAGAGAGGCGGACUCUUCCGGAAGCGAAGCCAGUAGACAAGACGAUGACUAUUUCGAACCAAAACAAACUACCAAUACAAAUACUGUUAAUUUCAUCGUUGGAGGGGACGUCACUAACUGGUCUGAAGAUAUUUCACCUUUAGUUCCUAAACAUACCCGAAUGUUAUCUCAACCAGCAUCCCUCCGUAAUCCAUCUCUUAAUAAAUCUUUAUCGACAAUGACACGUUCGUUUUCUCAAGACACCAACGUUGGUAAUGUAACUUCCUCUGAAGCCACAUUGCCACCAUCGAAAACGUCGCAUUCAGAACCGUCUUUGGAUCAUAUGGAUCGACGGAAACCGAAGAAAUUACACCAUAUUAAACAGCAGACGAUUAGGGAGCAUACGGGUUCCACUGAUGACGUUUGUUCGACGGAUUCUUCGGUUAUCGAUGAAGAAAUUAAGCGGAAAAAGAAGAAAUUUUUUUCGUUUGGAAAAACCAAAAGCGACUGACCUCUGAUGAUUCGUUUUUUUUGUUGACUUUUUGGUUUAUUUUUU
This 2385-nucleotide unclassified non-coding RNA is filed under the name Onthophagus taurus. RNAcentral describes it as "stromal interaction molecule homolog, transcript variant X1". Lineage: Eukaryota; Metazoa; Arthropoda; Insecta; Coleoptera; Scarabaeidae. The record is from RNAcentral.